CCAAUAGCGUAUAUUAAAGUUGUUGCAGUUAAAAAGCUCGUAGUUGAACUUCGGGGUUUACCCAUUGGUCAGGCUUAAUUGUCUGUACUGGUGAGAUGAAUCUCUACCUUCUGAGGAACUUUCAUGUCAUUUAUUUGGUGUGAUUGGAAAUCAGGACUGUUACUUUGAAAAAAUUAGAGUGUUUAAAGCAGGCUAACGUCUGAAUACAUUAGCAUGGAAUAAUGAAAUAGGACGGACUGAUUCUAUUUCGUUGGUUUCUAGGAUCACCGUAAUGAUUAAUAGGGAUAGUUGGGGGCAUUAGUAUUCAAUUGUCAGAGGUGAAAUUCUUGGAUUUAUUGAAGACUAACUACUGCGAAAGCAUUUGCCAAGGAUGUUUUCAUUAAUCAAGAACGAAAGUUAGGGGAUCGAAGACGAUCAGAUACCGUCGUAGUCUUAACCAUAAACUAUGCCGACUAGGGAUCGGACGAAGUUAAUUUUAUAAUGACGCGUUCGGCACCUUACG
This 502-nucleotide ribosomal RNA is filed under the name uncultured Glomeromycotina. RNAcentral's name for it is "partial small subunit ribosomal RNA". It matches the Rfam family "Eukaryotic small subunit ribosomal RNA", at positions 591 to 1092 of the family's 1831-position model. The record is from RNAcentral. Lineage: Eukaryota; Fungi; Glomeromycota.